Molecule: ribosomal RNA, 429 nt
Filed under: Chloroflexota bacterium
Lineage: Bacteria; Bacillati; Chloroflexota
Description: Chloroflexi bacterium partial 16S ribosomal RNA
Rfam family: Bacterial small subunit ribosomal RNA
Source: RNAcentral
UGGGGAAUAUUGCACAAUGGGCGCAAGCCUGAUGCAGCCAUGCCGCGUGUAUGAAGAAGGCCUUCGGGUUGUAAAGUACUUUCAGCGGGGAGGAAGGCGUUAAGGUUAAUAACCUUGGCGAUUGACGUUACCCGCAGAAGAAGCACCGGCUAACUCCGUGCCAGCAGCCGCGGUAAUACGGAGGGUGCAAGCGUUAAUCGGAAUUACUGGGCGUAAAGCGCACGCAGGCGGUUUGUUAAGUCAGAUGUGAAAUCCUCGGGCUCAACCUGGGAACUGCAUCUGAUACUGGCAAGCUUGAGUCUCGUAGAGGGGGGUAGAAUUCCAGGUGUAGCGGUGAAAUGCGUAGAGAUCUGGAGGAAUACCGGUGGCGAAGGCGGCCCCCUGGACGAAGACUGACGCUCAGGUGCGAAAGCGUGGGGAGCAAACAGG